RNAcentral lists this ribosomal RNA (698 nucleotides) under uncultured bacterium. RNAcentral's name for it is "bacterial SSU rRNA". It matches the Rfam family "Bacterial small subunit ribosomal RNA", at positions 111 to 823 of the family's 1533-position model. The record is from RNAcentral.
UAACACGUGAGCAACCUGCCCUAUACAACGGGAUAACACAGAGAAAUUUGUGCUAAUACGGUAUAAGACCACAGUAUCGCAUGAUACAGGGGUAAAAGAUUUAUCGGUAUAGGAUGGGCUCGCGACCCAUUAGCUAGUUGGUGAGGUAACGGCCCACCAAGGCAACGAUGGGUAGCCGACCUGAGAGGGUGAUCGGCCACACUGGGACUGAGACACGGUCCAGACUCCUACGGGAGGCAGCAGUGGGGAAUAUUGGGCAAUGGAGGCAACUCUUACCCAGCAAUGCCGCGUGAAUGAAGAAGGUCUUCGGAUUGUAAAGUUCUUUAAUUGGGGACGAAAAAAAUGACGGUACCCAAGGAAUAAGCCCCGGCUAACUACGUGCCAGCAGCCGCGGUAAUACGUAGGGGGCAAGCGUUGUUCGGAAUGACUGGGCGUAAAGGGUGUGUAGGCGGUGUAGCAAGUUAGAAGUGAAAUACCUAGAGCUUAACUCAGGUGCUGCUUCUAAAACUGCUAUACUUGAGUGCAGUAGAGGAAAGUGGAAUUCCUAGUGUAGCGGUGGAAUGCGUAGAUAUUAGGAGGAACAUCAGUGGCGAAGGCGACUUUCUGGACUGUAACUGACGCUGAGGCACGAAAGUGUGGGGAGCAAACAGGAUUAGAUACCCUGGUAGUCCACACUGUAAACGAUGGAUACUAGGUGU